UACAGAGACUGCAAGCGUUUAUUCGGAUUCACUGGGCGUAAAGGGUGCGCAGGCGGUUGGGUGUGUCAGAUGUGAAAUCCCGAGGCUUAACCUCGGAACUGCGUCUGAAACUACUCGACUAGAGUACUGGAGAGGGAAACGGAAUUCACGGAUGUAGCAGUGAAAUGCGUAGAUAUCGAUGAGGAACACCAGAGGCGAAGGCGGUUUCCUGGACAGUUACUAGACGCUCAGGCACGAAAGCAUGGGGAGCAAA
RNAcentral lists this ribosomal RNA (253 nucleotides) under uncultured bacterium. RNAcentral's name for it is "partial 16S ribosomal RNA". It matches the Rfam family "Bacterial small subunit ribosomal RNA", at positions 524 to 772 of the family's 1533-position model. The record is from RNAcentral.